Molecule: ribosomal RNA, 253 nt
Filed under: uncultured bacterium
Lineage: Bacteria
Description: partial 16S ribosomal RNA
Rfam family: Bacterial small subunit ribosomal RNA
Source: RNAcentral
UACGUAGGUGGCGAGCGUUGUCCGGAUUUACUGGGCGUAAAGAGCGCGCAGGCGGUCGUUCAAGUCGCGUGUGAAAGCCCCCGGCUCAACUGGGGAGGGUCACGCGAUACUGAUCGACUCGAAGGCAGGAGAGGGUAGUGGAAUUCCCGGUGUAGUGGUGAAAUGCGUAGAUAUCGGGAGGAACACCAGUGGCGAAGGCGGCUCUCUGGGACGGUACUGACGCUGAGACGCGAAAGCGUGGGGAGCGAACAGG